GGUUAAGUGACUAAGCGUACACGGUGGAUGCCUUGGCAGUCAGAGGCGAUGAAAGACGUAGUAACUUGCGAUAAGCCCAGAUUAGGUAGUAACAACCAUUUGAGUCUGGGAUUUCUGAAUGGGGAAACCCACGUGCAUAAGCACGUAUCCUUACCUGAAUACAUAGGGUAAGGAGGCGAACCGGGGGAACUGAAACAUCUAAGUACCCCGAGGAAAAGAAAUCAACCGAGAUUCCGAAAGUAGCGGCGAGCGAAAUUGGACUAGCCCUUAAGCUUUACACGCGUUAGACGAACGGUCUGGAAAGUCCGACGAUACAGGGUGAUAGUCCCGUAGUUGACGACGUGUGUUCAGUGAAAUCGAGUAGGGCGGGACACGUGAUAUCCUGUCUGAAUAUGGGGGGACCAUCCUCCAAGGCUAAAUACUACUGACUGACCGAUAGUGAACCAGUACCGUGAGGGAAAGGCGAAAAGAACCCCUGUGAGGGGAGUGAAAUAGAACCUGAAACCGUGUACGUACAAGCAGUAGGAGCAGGCUUGUCCUGUGACUGCGUACCUUUUGUAUAAUGGGUCAGCGACUUAUAUUCAGUGGCAAGGUUAACCAUCUAGGGGAGCCGUAGGGAAACCGAGUCUUAACUGGGCGUUCAGUCUCUGGAUAUAGACCCGAAACCAGGUGAUCUAGCCAUGGGCAGGUUGAAGGUUGAGUAACAUCAACUGGAGGACCGAACCGACUAAUGUUGAAAAAUUAGCGGAUGACUUGUGGCUAGGGGUGAAAGGCCAAUCAAACCUGGAGAUAGCUGGUUCUCCCCGAAAGCUAUUUAGGUAGCGCCUCGGACGAAUACUACUGGGGGUAGAGCACUGUUAAGGCUAGGGGGUCAUCCCGACUUACCAACCCUUUGCAAACUCCGAAUACCAGUAAGUACUAUCCGGGAGACACACGGCGGGUGCUAACGUCCGUCGUGGAGAGGGAAACAACCCAGACCGCCAGCUAAGGUCCCAAAUUACUACUAAGUGGGAAACGAUGUGGGAAGGCUCAGACAGCCAGGAUGUUGGCUUAGAAGCAGCCAUCAUUUAAAGAAAGCGUAAUAGCUCACUGGUCGAGUCGGCCUGCGCGGAAGAUGUAACGGGGCUAAGUAGUAAACCGAAGCUGCGGCAAUAUACUUUUGUAUAUUGGGUAGGGGAGCGUUCUGUAAGCGGUUGAAGGUGUGUGGUAACGCAUGCUGGACGUAUCAGAAGUGCGAAUGCUGACAUGAGUAACGAUAAAGGGGGUGAAAAACCUCCUCGCCGGAAGACCAAGGGUUCCUGUCCAACGUUAAUCGGGGCAGGGUAAGUCGACCCCUAAGGCGAGGCCGAAAGGCGUAGUCGAUGGGAAACGGGUUAAUAUUCCCGUACUUCUUACAAUUGCGAUGGGGGGACGGAGAAGGCUAGGUGGGCCUGGCGACGGUUGUCCAGGUUCAAGUGCGUAGGCUUAAGAGUUAGGUAAAUCCGGCUCUUUUUAAGGCUGAGACACGACGUCGAGCACCUACGGGUGUGAAGUCAUUGAUGCCAUGCUUCCAGGAAAAGCCUCUAAGCUUCAGAUUGUAAGGAAUCGUACCCCAAACCGACACAGGUGGUCGGGUAGAGAAUACCAAGGCGCUUGAGAGAACUCGGGUGAAGGAACUAGGCAAAAUGGUACCGUAACUUCGGGAGAAGGUACGCUCUUGAUGGUGAAGUCCCUCGCGGAUGGAGCUAUUGAGAGUCGCAGAUACCAGGUGGCUGCAACUGUUUAUUAAAAACACAGCACUGUGCAAAAUCGUAAGAUGACGUAUACGGUGUGACGCCUGCCCGGUGCCGGAAGGUUAAUUGAUGGGGUUAGACUUCGGUCGAAGCUCUUGAUCGAAGCCCCGGUAAACGGCGGCCGUAACUAUAACGGUCCUAAGGUAGCGAAAUUCCUUGUCGGGUAAGUUCCGACCUGCACGAAUGGCGUAAUGAUGGCCACGCUGUCUCCACCCGAGACUCAGUGAAAUUGAAAUCGCUGUGAAGAUGCAGUGUACCCGCGGCUAGACGGAAAGACCCCGUGAACCUUUACUACAGCUUGGCACUGAACAUUGACCCUACAUGUGUAGGAUAGGUGGGAGGCUUUGAAGCACGUACGCCAGUAUGUGUGGAGCCGUCCUUGAAAUACCACCCUUGUAGUGUUGAUGUUCUAACGUCGACCCCUUAUCGGGGUUGCGGACAGUGCCUGGUGGGUAGUUUGACUGGGGCGGUCUCCUCCCAAAGAGUAACGGAGGAGCACGAAGGUGGGCUAAUCACGGUUGGACAUCGUGAGGUUAGUGCAAUGGCAUAAGCCCGCUUGACUGCGAGAAUGACAAUUCGAGCAGGUGCGAAAGCAGGUCAUAGUGAUCCGGUGGUUCUGAAUGGAAGGGCCAUCGCUCAACGGAUAAAAGGUACUCCGGGGAUAACAGGCUGAUACCGCCCAAGAGUUCAUAUCGACGGCGGUGUUUGGCACCUCGAUGUCGGCUCAUCACAUCCUGGGGCUGAAGUCGGUCCCAAGGGUAUGGCUGUUCGCCAUUUAAAGUGGUACGCGAGCUGGGUUUAGAACGUCGUGAGACAGUUCGGUCCCUAUCUGCCGUGGGCGUUGGAAGAUUGAAGGGGGCUGCUCCUAGUACGAGAGGACCGGAGUGGACGAACCUCUGGUGUUCGGGUUGUGUCGCCAGACGCAUUGCCCGGUAGCUAAGUUCGGAAUCGAUAACCGCUGAAAGCAUCUAAGCGGGAAGCGAGCCCUGAGAUGAGUCUUCCCUGAUACUUUAAGUAUCCUAAAGGGUUGUCGGAGACUACGACGUUGAUAGGUCAGGUGUGUAAGUGCUGUGAGGCAUUGAGCUAACUGAUACUAAUUGCCCGUGAGGCUUAACCAU
RNAcentral lists this ribosomal RNA (2890 nucleotides) under Vibrio parahaemolyticus. RNAcentral describes it as "23S ribosomal RNA". It matches the Rfam family "Bacterial large subunit ribosomal RNA". Lineage: Bacteria; Pseudomonadati; Pseudomonadota; Gammaproteobacteria; Vibrionales; Vibrionaceae. The record is from RNAcentral.